CAAGACUUGACAUCCCGCUGACCGCUCUAGAGAUAGAGUUUCCCUUCGGGGCAGCGGUGACAGGUGGUGCAUGGUUGUCGUCAGCCCGUGUCGUGAGAUGUUGGGUUAAGUCCCGCAACGAGCGCAACCCCUAUGUUGUGUUGCCAUCAUUUAGUUGGGCACUUACAACAGACUGCCGGUGACAAACCGGAGGAAGGCGGGGAUGACGUCAAAUCAUCAUGCCCCUUAUGUCUUGGGCUACACACGUGCUACAAUGGGCGGUACAAAGAGACGCGAGACCGCGAGGUGGAGCCAAUCUCAUAAAGCCGUUCGUAGUUCGGAUUGCAGGCUGCAACUCGCCUGCAUGAAGCCGGAAUUGCUAGUAAUCGCGGAUCAGCAUGCCGCGGUGAAUUCGUUCCCGGGCCUUGUACACACCGCCCGUCACACCACGGGAGUUGGCAACACCCAAAGUCGGUGAGGUAACCUUCGGGAGCCAGCCGCCUAAGGUGGGGUCGAUGACUGGGGUG
This 506-nucleotide ribosomal RNA is filed under the name uncultured bacterium. RNAcentral describes it as "bacterial SSU rRNA". It matches the Rfam family "Bacterial small subunit ribosomal RNA", at positions 975 to 1482 of the family's 1533-position model. The record is from RNAcentral.